RNAcentral lists this ribosomal RNA (617 nucleotides) under uncultured bacterium. RNAcentral's name for it is "bacterial SSU rRNA". It matches the Rfam family "Bacterial small subunit ribosomal RNA", at positions 338 to 946 of the family's 1533-position model. The record is from RNAcentral.
CCUACGGGAGGCAGCAGUGGGGAAUUUUGGACAAUGGGCGCAAGCCUGAUCCAGCCAUGCCGCGUGUGGGAAGAAGGCCUUCGGGUUGUAAACCACUUUUGUCAGGGAAGGAAACGGCUCUUACUAAUAUUAGGGGCUAAUGACGGUACCUGAAGAAUAUGCACCGGCUAACUACGUGCCAGCAGCCGCGGUAAUACGUAGGGUGCAAGCGUUAAUCGGAAUUACUGGGCGUAAAGCGUGCGCAGGCGGCUUUGCAAGACAGAUGUGAAAUCCCCGGGCUCAACCUGGGAACUGCAUUUGUGACUGCAUGGCUAGAGUACGGUAGAGGGGGGAUGGAAUUCCGCGUGUAGCAGUGAAAUGCGUAGAUAUGCGGAGGAACACCGAUGGCGAAGGCAAUCCCCUGGACCUGUACUGACGCUCAUGCACGAAAGCGUGGGGAGCAAACAGGAUUAGAUACCCUGGCAGUCCACGCCCUAAACGAUGUCAACUGGUUGUUGGACGGCUUGCUGUUCAGUAACGAAGCUAACGCGUGAAGUUGACCGCCUGGGGAGUACGGCCGCAAGGUUGAAACGUCAAAGGAUUGACGGNUGAGAGNGCGAGCGACGACGAGGGAGAGG